Molecule: small nucleolar RNA, 99 nt
Organism: Nymphaea colorata (pocket water lily)
Lineage: Eukaryota; Viridiplantae; Streptophyta; Magnoliopsida; Nymphaeales; Nymphaeaceae
Product: small nucleolar RNA snR60/Z15/Z230/Z193/J17
Exons: 1
Source: RefSeq, a predicted model, not a curated record
UUUAGUCAGGUGAUGAAGGAAAAGUGCAUAGUUCAAAUGAUAACCUCCUUGAGGGAGUGUUGUGAUUACACAUCAUUUCGCCCCUAUCUGAUGGCUAAA